Molecule: unclassified non-coding RNA, 279 nt
Filed under: Hevea brasiliensis (rubber tree)
Lineage: Eukaryota; Viridiplantae; Streptophyta; Magnoliopsida; Malpighiales; Euphorbiaceae
Source: RNAcentral
GCCGCAUGUGAGAGCGCAACAGCCACCUGGUCAGCAACAACUUCAACGAUCUCUAGUUCGUGGUAGCUCCAGUGUCUCGAAUCGUCCUUAGGGAGAACCAACACCAGUAUCGCGUAGCAAGCCUGAAUGACUUCCGGAGUACCCCCUUUGAAAUCUGCAACUUUCAGUAUUUGAAUUCGAAUUGCGGCUACAGCUCCAGUUUCAAGUAGUCCACUACUCGCAGAACCAAGCACGGAAUCUGGCCUGAUUAUUUUCACACCCUCGGUUUUCCUUAUCUCA